Molecule: ribosomal RNA, 597 nt
Filed under: Triticum aestivum (bread wheat)
Lineage: Eukaryota; Viridiplantae; Streptophyta; Magnoliopsida; Poales; Poaceae
Description: partial small subunit ribosomal RNA
Source: RNAcentral
GGCGAGGGAGAGGGGCAGGGCUAGGCCAGACUUAGUCACUGCUUUGGGGUGAGGGGUGAGAGGAGCGAGGGGCUAGGGGAAGACCUAGCCCCGUUGUUGGAGCCGCGGACCGCGGGGCGACGGAUGGGGCGGUAAGGGGGUAGCGGACCGCGAGCGGCCUGGGGCAGACGCGGCAGGGCAGUAGAGAAGGAGCGGGUUCCAGCGCGGGCUUCCGGCGUCUGCGGCGCCGGUAGCGGCGGGACGAACCUGGAGCGGCCUGCGGUAGCGGCCUGACGGAGGGGCAGCAGGAGAAGCAGCGGAUGAGUAGGGGCAGAAGGAGGAGUUGUCGAGGUUGCUCGGAGCGGCGGGGAGCAGGAACGUUGUACCUGAUGCUCUGGCUGCGACGACGGCGGGGCAAGCUGAUGCCUCAACUGCUGGGGAGGAAGAACGGUCUCGUUGGUCCGUUCGGGGGAGGGAAACUAGUGGUCUAUAGCGGAUGAGAAGAGAUAUGACGAACGUAAUCUCAUCACAUCGUACAAUGACGAAAGGCAAUAAGGAUAGGACUACGUAUCGGACAGGAACGAUGAUGACAACAAUGGUAAUGGACGAUAGGAUGAC